UCCCGUGUGGCUCAGUUGGUAGAGCAUGGUGUUUGCAACGCCAGGGUUGUGGGUUUGAUUAUCACGGGGG
Molecule: transfer RNA, 70 nt
Filed under: Salmo salar (Atlantic salmon)
Lineage: Eukaryota; Metazoa; Chordata; Actinopteri; Salmoniformes; Salmonidae
Rfam family: tRNA
About the family: Transfer RNA (tRNA) molecules are approximately 80 nucleotides in length.
Source: Rfam by way of RNAcentral